ACCACCAAAGCGUUUCGCUUUGUGUGGUGCACAAAGAAGCGUAACGACAGCACUGAAUGACGGUUAACGGAGCGCAAGCGACGUUCAACAUACAAAGUCAAGCAGUGGAGCGCUUUGGGGUGGGGUGACUGCGUACCUUUUGUAUAAUGGGUCAGCGACUUAUAUUCUGUAGCAAGGUUAACCGAAUAGGGGAGCCGGAGGGAAACCGAGUCUUAAUUGGGCGUUAAGUUGCAGGGUAUAGACCCGAAACCCGGUGAUCUAGCCAUGGGCAGGUUGAAGGUUGGGUAACACUAACUGGAGGACCGAACCGACUAAUGUUGAAAAAUUAGCGGAUGACCUGUGGCUGGGGGUGAAAGGCCAAUCAAACCGGGAGAUAGCUGGUUCUCCCCGAAAGCUAUUUAGGUAGCGCCUCGUGAAUUCAUCUCCGGGGGUAGAGCACUGUUUCGGCUAGGGGGCCAUCCCGGCUUACCAACCCGAUGCAAACUGCGAAUACCGGAGAAUGUUAUCACGGGAGACACACGGCGGGUGCUAACGUCCGUCGUGAAGAGGGAAACAACCCAGACCGCCAGCUAAGGUCCCAAAGUCAUGGUUAAGUGGGAAACGAUGUGGGAAGGCCCAGACAGCCAGGAUGUUGGCUUAGAAGCAGCCAUCAUUUAAAGAAAGCGUAAUAGCUCACUGGUCGAGUCGGCCUGCGCGGAAGAUGUAACGGGGCUAAACCAUGCACCGAAGCUGCGGCAGCGACGCUUAUGCGU
Molecule: ribosomal RNA, 752 nt
Filed under: Salmonella enterica subsp. enterica serovar Weltevreden
Lineage: Bacteria; Pseudomonadati; Pseudomonadota; Gammaproteobacteria; Enterobacterales; Enterobacteriaceae
Description: partial 23S ribosomal RNA
Rfam family: Bacterial large subunit ribosomal RNA
Source: RNAcentral